GGGAGUGUAGCUCAGUGGAAAAGCACUUGCCUAGCAUGCAUGAGGCCCUAGGUUCAAUCCUUACCUCUACCA
Transfer RNA from Cavia porcellus (domestic guinea pig), 72 nucleotides. It matches the Rfam family "tRNA". From Rfam's summary of the family: Transfer RNA (tRNA) molecules are approximately 80 nucleotides in length. Their secondary structure includes four short double-helical elements and three loops (D, anti-codon, and T loops). The record is from Rfam. NCBI's taxonomy places the organism in Eukaryota, Metazoa, Chordata, Mammalia, Rodentia, Caviidae.